This 397-nucleotide long non-coding RNA is filed under the name Panax ginseng (ginseng). RNAcentral describes it as "long non-coding RNA (PGIN_LNC007341)". Lineage: Eukaryota; Viridiplantae; Streptophyta; Magnoliopsida; Apiales; Araliaceae. The record is from RNAcentral.
UGAGAAGCUUAGUUUAAACUUGUGGAGUUAUGCCUAGUGUGGCAAGAUGAUGAAUUGAGAAAAUACUAAUUUAACUAAUGAUGGAAUUAAUUAGUAUUACUAAUAAAUAAAUAAUUUCAUAAUGAGGUUGAUUUAUUUGUUAUUUGUGACGCCCCCAAAAUUAGGUAUACAUCACCAAUCUUGGGUCGUCAGAUACAUGGUACAGAAUUCAAAUAUAACUUACUAAUACAACUGUCGUGUACAAUACGACAAACAUAAACUGUGAGUUGUAAUACAAAUAUUAUCUACUAGAGAUUAUACAAACUCAAAAGCAGUAUUCAUUACAUUUAUUAUCGCACUAUUUAACAGAAUAAUAAAGACAGAAUAAUAGAAGAAUGUCACCAAGUAUAGGGUAGCC